AGAAAAGCAUUGAAGGACAUCAGUAGAAGGCAAGCCAUGUGUUUCAGAGAGCCGGUGGGUGGUGCGAACCGGCAGCAGGCCCCUUUGAAUUACAGUCCGGAGCUGGACGGAGGAACAUCAGGUGUGUAAGCAGCGCCUGUCAGUAGUCCGGAACCGGGGCAUCCCCGUUAUAACAAUGGAGCGAAGAAUCUGCUGCCGUAUACGCUGCAGAGAUUCUUAAUUAGGGUGGUACCGCGAGUCUUUUGCUCGUCCCUUGA
This 257-nucleotide non-coding RNA is filed under the name Paenibacillus sp. RNAcentral describes it as "T-box sequence". It matches the Rfam family "T-box leader". Rfam says of the family: Uncharged tRNA acts as the effector for transcription antitermination of genes in the T-box leader family. Lineage: Bacteria; Bacillati; Bacillota; Bacilli; Caryophanales; Paenibacillaceae. The record is from RNAcentral.